AUUUUUAUCACUGAACGUUUUCUUAUGUUUAGCUAUAUAUCUCUCCUUGCAUGCCUAACUUCAAUUCUCACCUUCUUCCUUACUUGUUUAAUAUAUUCCAUAUAUCUUUUUAGAUUACCUGUAGCUUCCUUUUCCUUUCCUUAGUAAUAUAUUCUGUAAUGUGAGUUACAUUUUUUGUUUACACCUUGUUUUCAGGAACAGUAGUUGAAUCCAACCCCAUCCACAGUCAACAGAAAUAUGGCGGUCAAGACUGGCACCACAUGGUUUAGACACUGAAUAGAAGUAACCAUGUUUAAUAUAGGUUAGCAAUAUCAACUGUUUUCAGCUAUUGUGGAAUUUUAGCUUUGUUGGCUUUGAUUUUACUAGGAGUGUUGGAGUCUGUGGAGGUGGCCUUAAAUAUUGACCAGAACCUUUUGCUUUUCGAUAUUAAUGAUGGAAGUGUUUGAAAGUAGCUACUGCAUCGGUUUAGCUGACUAUAAUGACUUAAUUAGAUUCUUUUGUUAAACCAUAUAGCCUAUUGAAGGUUUUGAGGAUUUUUGAGAAUACAAUAAAGCGACUGCUACGCAGGCUAGUUAAACCAUUGAGUGCAAGCACUCUCCCUUUAUGAGUAAAAUUGUGUGGCGUUAGACAGAGUAAAAUAACAAAGUAUAGGGCUGUUACGGCACAAUGCCACUUAAAGGGUUAACUUCCAUGCACAUUGAACUUGAGCCUGAUAGUAUUAGUAGCUACUUAAUAUGUCUAGACGGAAUGUAUUGAAAUGUAGGCUACCUUAAAUAUAGGUCGCCAAAAUACUGUAUAUAUGCUUAAUCUUCGUUUCUACGGAGGGGUAUGAAAUCAUUUUUCAUAAAUUUGAGGGGUUACCAAAUAAAAUUUGGAAUGUCCGUGUUCGGUACGAAACGUUUUUUAAAAUUAUAAAAAUGGCCUCCGCCACUCCCCCUAUAACACUAUAUAGCGAGUUUGGUAACCAACAACGGCGACGGCAGAAAACAAAAUUACCUAUACUUUUGUAUUUGAGCGAAAACAUACAUUACUAACUUCUUUUUAACCGAACGCGAGGUCUGCAGAGAAUUAUCGGACCGAGGUCUUUUUUGUACAGAUCGAGCCCGUAGGGCGAGUUUUGUACAAAAAGUCCGAGGUCCGAUAUUUCUCUGUACAUACCGAGCAAGCGAGGUUAAUAAAAAGUUUAUUAUAUGGCAUUUAUAAGCAUUUAUACUUGAAACAAACAAGAAAUGCAUGAUUUGAAAUGCAUGUUAGUAGCGUGGUACACAUUUGGUCGAAGAAAACAAAAAAUACCAAUGUAUUCCUUCUUUUCCACUAAGAACCAUUCGCAGAUAUCUUCUUAAUAACAAAUUAAAUUAUGAUUUUCAAAUUUUCAAUUAGUUUUGCUGUUUUGUUUUAAAAUGCAUGCGUUUGUUUUACGUAAUGGACCGCCGGCCAUUACGGGAAAAUAAUGGACCGCUGAAAGUGCUUCUCAGCCAAUCACAGUCUGCCAUUUCACCGGAAGUGAUGCUUGCCAUAUAAUAAACUUUUAAAAGCACUUAUCUUUCUUUUAAACAACCCUGAAAUUCCCUGAAGUAGUAAUAGUAAGUGAAUUAACAUAAAACAUCCCGAACGACUUGAACGUUGUACUCUUUUGGCGUGGUCAUGAGCCGUGAUAAUGAUGUAAAUAACGUAGCAGUUUGAACAACUGGGGCGUACUAGAAUGCUCAAGGGUGCAAAUUAUAUUCACCUUUGUCUUAGGACGCUUUCCAUUAACACGGCCAGACCGGUCAGAACGGUCAAAUUGUUGAAUGACACACAAAACAUUUGGGCUUCGGACCUAUCUGACCGGAAAUUUUAAAUAACAUUAGAAUGAGGUCCAUUUUCGCUAGAUAUUUGAGAAACAUAGACCAGAUCUUUCCAUUGAUACACAGAAAAGUCUGACCGGUCAGGCCAUUAAAUGGAAAGCGCCCGUAGAGUAAAGAUGCUAUUGUUGAUGAGCUCGUUGCCGUUGUAUUUGCCAAACUCUCUACUUACUUAAUGACCGCUCCCUAACGUUUGACAAUGUUCGUAAUUUAUCGAACCCCUGUGUACUCAUAAAAACUCGAUGUUUCAUUCUUCACACGUGAGUAGAGAUUAACUCGUGUGUACGACGUCGUGAUAAAAAUAUGUUUGAAUAUCUUUGUACAAAAAGUGUGCAUGCAGUUGUAAAUAUAAUAGAUAUUCAUAGGAAACUAUUAGCCUCUUCCGCAGGCCUCUCUAUGGGUUUUAGCCUUGUGGACCUGUCAUUGUACCCCACCCCCUAAGUAGCCUUUUGACCCUAAUUAUAUAUUCAGUUUGCCAUAUUCGGGCGAGGAGCGAAGUUUGUGAGUAAAAACUUGGUCAAUUGAAAGGAGUAUAUAUAUCACAAUGUUUCUCGCGGUCUAAAAACACGUGAAAAUUUUGAAUCGCUCGCUCGAAAUUAGCCAAAUGUUUACAAAUGUAUGGGUUCAGAGUUCAAUUGUUCAGCCGAGGAACUACAAUUUGAGGAUCCGGCAUAAUUUCGAACGCAAAAUGGAACGAUACGAAAGGGUAUGAUUAAUAUAAUUUGUUUAAUAAAGGGAUUAUAUUAAAUUGUAUUGUUUCUUGAAUGAUAUUUUGAUAUGUAUAUUUUACUAAUUUUAGUCAAAUCAUCAAGCAUUUGGCAACACGCUCAUGCAGUGAAUUGAUAUAAAGGAAAAGAUCUUUCUGUUGAACUAACUGUUUCAUUAUAAGUGAGGAGAGAUCAUAAUAGCAACUUGGAAAUACUGUAUCAACUACAUAAAUUUAUUACUACAAACAUGAAGAUUUUAUUGGCAUCUCACUUGGUUGAAUAGUUAAAUUGGAAUUUUUGAACUCCCUCACCCCCUUAAUAUCAUGCCGGUAAAUAUGCUAAACCCAGUAAAGUUGCAUUGUGGCACUAUUCAAAUUGGCCAAACACGCCGCGGAAGCUGAUUAACUAAUGGAAUUUGAGUAAUUAACGUUGUUUUAUGAAUAAAUAAUGAUGUACAAUGCAU
This 3014-nucleotide long non-coding RNA is filed under the name Paramuricea clavata. Lineage: Eukaryota; Metazoa; Cnidaria; Anthozoa; Malacalcyonacea; Plexauridae. The record is from RNAcentral.